This 552-nucleotide ribosomal RNA is filed under the name Pseudomonas cedrina subsp. fulgida. Its description in RNAcentral is "bacterial SSU rRNA". It matches the Rfam family "Bacterial small subunit ribosomal RNA", at positions 80 to 628 of the family's 1533-position model. Lineage: Bacteria; Pseudomonadati; Pseudomonadota; Gammaproteobacteria; Pseudomonadales; Pseudomonadaceae. The record is from RNAcentral.
UUGCUUCUCUUGAGAGCGGCGGACGGGUGAGUAAUGCCUAGGAAUCUGCCUGGUAGUGGGGGAUAACGUUCGGAAACGGACGCUAAUACCGCAUACGUCCUACGGGAGAAAGCAGGGGACCUUCGGGCCUUGCGCUAUCGGAUGAGCCUAGGUCGGAUUAGCUAGUUGGUGAGGUAAUGGCUCACCAAGGCGACGAUCCGUAACUGGUCUGAGAGGAUGAUCAGUCACACUGGAACUGAGACACGGUCCAGACUCCUACGGGAGGCAGCAGUGGGGAAUAUUGGACAAUGGGCGAAAGCCUGAUCCAGCCAUGCCGCGUGUGUGAAGAAGGUCUUCGGAUUGUAAAGCACUUUAAGUUGGGAGGAAGGGUUGUAGAUUAAUACUCUGCAAUUUUGACGUUACCGACAGAAUAAGCACCGGCUAACUCUGUGCCAGCAGCCGCGGUAAUACAGAGGGUGCAAGCGUUAAUCGGAAUUACUGGGCGUAAAGCGCGCGUAGGUGGUUUGUUAAGUUGGAUGUGAAAUCCCCGGGCUCAACCUGGGAACUGCAUUC